UACGUAGGGUGCGAGCGUUAAUCGGAAUUACUGGGCGUAAAGCGUGCGCAGGCGGCUUUGCAAGACAGAUGUGAAAUCCCCGGGCUCAACCUGGGAACUGCAUUUGUGACUGCUAGGCUAGAGUACGGCAGAGGGGGAUGGAAUUCCGCGUGUAGCAGUGAAAUGCGUAGAUAUGCGGAGGAACACCAAUGGCGAAGGCAAUCCCCUGGGCCUGUACUGACGCUCAUGCACGAAAGCGUGGGGAGCAAACAGG
RNAcentral lists this ribosomal RNA (253 nucleotides) under uncultured bacterium. RNAcentral's name for it is "partial 16S ribosomal RNA". It matches the Rfam family "Bacterial small subunit ribosomal RNA", at positions 524 to 776 of the family's 1533-position model. The record is from RNAcentral.